This 3263-nucleotide long non-coding RNA is filed under the name Manihot esculenta (cassava). Its description in RNAcentral is "long non-coding RNA (MESC_LNC011069)". Lineage: Eukaryota; Viridiplantae; Streptophyta; Magnoliopsida; Malpighiales; Euphorbiaceae. The record is from RNAcentral.
CUGCAUAUAAUUUAUAUGUUGACCACAAUAGGAAAAAUAUUACAUAUAACCGUUGUAUGUACAACGGUCUCAUUAUAGCCAUUGAUUAUAGUCAAUACUAUAUAAGUAGGCCAUUGAUUGUAGUCAAUACUAUAUAAGUAGGCCCGUCAUAAUCAACGGUCAAUAUCUAACUAUUAUACAUAGUAUGGUUGUGCGAUAAAAUUUCUCCAUAAGAUGAGAAGACUGAUAAAAUUUCUCCAUAAGAUGAGAAGACUGAUAAAAUUUCUCCAUAAGAUGAGAAGACUAUGCAGUCCCAAAUAGGUAGCAUGUCAAGCAAAAGCAAAAAGCUGCUUGUGUUGUGUUCUCAAAGUCAAAUCACACCAAGUUAGGACACCAUCUCCAAUUCACCUCAAUGACCAUCAGCAGAUCCAACUACCUUUUCAGAGAUAUAACAUUACUAGCAAGUGUCUAUACUAGGUCUAUGCAUAAUUCAUUCAGACAUUUAUGGAAGGCUCCCUUUCAUUCUAACAGUAACCAAAACUCUAAUUGACAAAGAAAUAUGUAAAUUCACCAAAAAAUAAGAACCUCUUGUUAGGGGAUUCCAAAUGCUAUUAUACUCCCUACAUAUAAAAGGAGAUGUGUAGCAAGUUCACAAGUAUUUUGCUUUUCGGAUUAUAACAAACAUUAGAAAAAUUAAGGUCAACAUGGUGGUCAGCUGAAGAUAACAGGCACUAACAACUUAGAAUUUAUAACAGAAGGAAGAAAAAUCAAAGGGAAGAGUCCAGCCAAUCAGCUGCAGGCGAGGAUGACAAGAGAGACAUUCAAAUCAGUUUGUUAGAUGGGACAAACUCCAUAUUGUUAGAGAGGAGAGAAGAGGGCUUAUCAACUAACAAUAAGGGCAAUCAAGGUAGCAUGCAAAUAGAGGAGAAGGGGAAAUAGUUAGGCAUGCUUUUAUAAUGUGGAGUUCUGGAGGCGAGUUGCCUGGGAGAAGAGAUUUUGGUCCUGCUACCUAUUUUCUGUCAUUUGAGCCAGGAUUGGCACCUGUUUGUUUUCUGUUUUUACUUUGGGAACUGUAAUGACUAGCUGUAUGCGAUUUUCUUCCACCAUUAUAAAACAUUUCUCAAUUUCCUUUCAUCAAAAACUGUUUGCCCUUCCUAAUUCCAUCACUUUCAAAUGCUUACCAAUAGUUCCUUUUUCCUAUUUGCUAUAUUAACUAUGACCAUCUUUAUGAAAAUGUAGAAUGAUCCUUCUGUUAGACAGAAACAGAAGGUAAUUUUUUACCAUUCUGCUUACUGUACUCCAUUAUAUAGGAAACCAGAGUUAGUUUACUCUUUCAAAUAGAUUCAUUAAAGAUAAUGUGCAUAUACAACAAAAAACUGAUAGUAUAAAUAAAUAAUAUCUUGUAAAAAAGCAAAAGCAACUAACAAGAAGAAUUGCAAAUACGGAUUGGAUGAAACACCUUACAAUAGAAAUAACUCAACAAAGAAAAGAAUUCAUCCCUCCAUCCAUUGAUCAGUGUUCAUUGUUAAAAUAUCACUUCAUCUCUACACCUUCUUCGGAACAAUUUUGUAGUUUUCUCCGAAUACAAUCUUCACUAUGUUAUAAAUGUAUUAUUAAUUCAUCAGUGGUUGCAUCCGCAGAGAAUCCCUUACUAAUAAGUUGUAAUGCUUUUGGUACAUCCUCAUGCCUGAGAAACAAAUACAAAAUAACAACAAUCAUGUGGUAAACGUCUACCCACUUCCAUUCCUCCAAAGUCCCUGCAUGCUUCAUCUAGUAAUCCUUCACUCCAAAUUCCUGUUAUCAUUGUACUAUAUGUAUAAACAUCAGGUUGUAAACCAUUUUCAAAAAGCCUAGACAAUAGUUUCUGGCAUUAUUAAGCAUUGCAGCUCUGCACGAUGAGGCUUCAAUCGACUCUUUUCCAUCACUUUUAAAUAGUGAGUGCGUCACAAAGAACUCCCUGUUGCACAAGCCAUCAAGAAAAACGGAACAAUUUUUUCUAUCUACUUGGCGACCUUGAGAACAUAACACCUUCAUAAGGCAUUUCAUAAAAAAGUUCUUCACUUCAUCAAUCAUUUUGUUCUCACAAAUAUCCAUUGAUCAAGAUGUUGUAGCUAUUGAAAUUAGCUACGUCAUAACUUAGCAUUUGAUCAAAUACUUUUCUAGCUUCAAUCAUUUGGCUUUUCAAACAAUAUCCAUCCAUCAAUGCAUUGUAACUUGUAAGUAAACACAUCAGGCUUUAUGCCCCAUUGAACCAUCAUAUGGUUGAUCAACAUAUUUAAGGUAUAAACAUCUGGUAAUAUGUUCUGCCCACCAUUUCAUUCAGCAAGGCCAAAGUGAGAUUCAAUUUACCUAAAUUGCAGGGACCAUGAAUUAGGCGUGUGUAAGUGAUAACAUUAGGUGAAACGCCUUUGUGCCUUUGUUCCUCAUUUUAGAGAAGAUGUCUAAAGCCUCAGCAUCUAGCUUAUCCUUGCAAAGAGCAUCAAUGAUUGCAGAGUAUGUCACAACAUUUGGCUCACAACCUCUAUCAACCAUUCAAUUUAACAACCCAAUAACCAAAUUUGUUUUCCCACAUUUACACACAGCAUUUACUAUCACACUGUAAGUAGUAACAUCAGAUUGAUAACCUCCAGCAACCACAUCAUUGAAAAGGUCUACUGCUCUACUGAUUUUACCCUCUUCACACAGCACAUCAAUUAAGGUAGCAAAUGUCACAAUGUUGGGCUCUAAUGUUUUGACGAUUUUUACCAAAAUUGAGUAGCCAAAAUCCACAAGGUGUAAGCAGCAGAAGCAGUUAAUCAAGAUAAAAAGAAAAUAAUAUCGUGUGAGAUUCCUAGAGACUCAAUUUUUUUUGGACAAAGAAAGGACAGUGCUGUGAUGUUUCAUUCUGACAAGAGCAGAUAAAGAUCGAGAAAAUUGAACUAAGAGAAGGCAGAGGAUGGAUAAGAAUGAUGUGAUUAAAGCACCCUAGGGCAUCAUCAACGUCUCUAAAAGGAGCAGAAACAUCAAGCUUGCAUCUUUAUAAGUCUGCGUGGAAUUAAAGGAAUGGAAAGAGUGAAUGAAAUUGGUAGAUAAAAAGAUCGGAGAAUGAGUGGUACCCAUUUCUCUUUGCAGUUGAAAAUGGAAGCAAUGAAUGGUAAACAUUUCCCUUUGCAGUUGAAAAUGGAAGCUCCUCCAAGUGCUCGUGAAAAUGCUUGGCGGCGUCAUUAUCAUCUUCCAACCAAAAACCAUCGUUAUGAGCAAGUUCAUUCUGUUUUUCCUAGUUAUGUUAUGUUAUAGACUUCCCC